UAAAAGUCUAACAAGGUUCCGUAGGUGAACCUGCGGAAGGAUCUUAAUAAAUUUUUUUGAAAUAAAAAAAAUAAUAAUCAUCCUACCCUUUGUGAAUUUGUUUGUUGAAUAAUUUUUAAAAUUAUUUAUGUCUAUCCAAGUUGGAAAGUUGUAAAAGACUGAAGACUUGGAGCGGCAUAAAUAAAUUUAAAGACUUUUUCUAAAUUAAACUUUUGUAUUCAUUUGUCUAAAAUAAUUUUUAUAAUAUAUAAAACGACUUUUGACAAUGGAUUCUUGGUUCUCGCAACGAUGAAGAACGCAGCAAAUGCGAUAAGUAAUGUGAAUUGCAGAUAGUGAUCAUCGAAUCUUCGAACGCAUAUUGCACUUUUUAGUUUACUAAAAGUAUGUCUGUUUGAGUAUCAGUAAAAUGUUCUCAUAAAUUUUUUAAUUUAUGUUAUGAGUGUUUACAACGAUAACAAGUUGUUUCACUUUAAAUUGAAUUUUUGAAGAAUUCUUUAAUUCAAAUUAAUUUGGAUAAAUUUUCCGUAAAAGGAAUAACUAUACAGUUUAAUAAGAAUUAGUGAUCUCUUUUAUGAAGAGGAAUUUAUAAUAACUGAUCUCAAUCAGAUAAGAGUACCGCUGAACUUAAGCAUAUCAAUAAGCGGAGGAAAAGAAACUAACAAGGAUUCCCUAGUAACGGCGAGUGAGCGGAAGAGCUCAAAUUUGAAAUCUUAAAGGGUUCCUUACGAAUUGUAGUUAAAGAAGUGUUUCUGUUGAGGUUUUGGUAAAAGUUCUUGGAAUAGACAUCAUAGAGGGUGAGAAUCCGUAUUGACCUUUACUUUCAACUUUGUGAUACACUUUCAAAGAGUCGGAUGUUUGGAAUGCAGUCCAAAAUGGGUGGUAAAUUUCAUCUAAAGCUAAAUAUUGGCGAGAGACCGAUAGCGAACAGUACCGUGAGGGAAGAUGAAAAGAACUUUGAAAGAGAGUUAACAGUACGUGAAAUUGUCAAAAGGAAGCGUUUGACACAGUGUGUUUUUCUGAAAUCAUUAAAGAACUGUUAUGCUAAGUUGUUAGACUUUAUCAGCUAACUGUUUAGUUUUGAGCUUUCUUAAUGCACUUUCAGUUAACAAGUCAACAUCAAUUUCUUUUGCGUAAAAAGCUUGAGGAAGUGGCUUGAGAUUCGUCUUAAGUGUUUAUAGCUCUUGCUAUGCAGUCGGAGAGAUUGAGGUCUGCAGCGUAGAUCCUUCGGGCUAAAUGCAUUUGUGCUAAGUUAUAGCAUUUAUAGACAACUUGUUGACUAUGAUUUGUCUGUAGCUUACUCGCUUAUUUAUUUACCUACGCUUAGGAGUU
RNAcentral lists this unclassified non-coding RNA (1329 nucleotides) under uncultured Neocallimastigales. Its description in RNAcentral is "partial contains small subunit ribosomal RNA, internal transcribed spacer 1, 5.8S ribosomal RNA, internal transcribed spacer 2, and large subunit ribosomal RNA". The stretch from base 594 to 1329 matches the Rfam family "Eukaryotic large subunit ribosomal RNA", at positions 1 to 631 of the family's 3401-position model. Lineage: Eukaryota; Fungi; Neocallimastigomycota; Neocallimastigomycetes; Neocallimastigales. The record is from RNAcentral.